Schizosaccharomyces pombe (fission yeast) is the source of this 621-nucleotide non-coding RNA. NCBI's taxonomy places the organism in Eukaryota, Fungi, Ascomycota, Schizosaccharomycetes, Schizosaccharomycetales, Schizosaccharomycetaceae. The record is from the annotation of a GenBank genome assembly.
CUGACAACGUAAAAAAUCUCAAGAACCUUUCAUAUAUGAGACCAAAAUAGCAGUUCACGUUAUUAUAAUUUGUUUUGUUAUUUUUUUUAUUUUUACAAUAGCAAGUAAUUUCGUCCGUACUUUUUAGAUGCGUUUGAUAUGAAAUAUUAUACAAAAUUAUGGAAAACUAACUGAAAAAAUAGUAUUUGCAUGUUACUAUGAAAUUUUUAUCUUUCGUUUGCUGUACUAAUUCACGGUUCUAUUUAUGUCUUUUUAAAGAAGCAAUAUUCAGUUAUCGAAAUUUUCUAGCUAUACGGAUUAUAAUAAGCCAAAUGUAAUCAGCGAGUCAUUACAAUUUACGGCGUAAACUAGGAGAGCUUUCGCGUUCUACCUUAAUAUACUUUCCAGGAUCAAAUAAAAUUUAGGCUACACUAAUGUAUCAAGUAAAUUGUACAUUUUCCAUAUUAGCUGCUACCGAAAUUUAUUAACUUAUUUUCACGUUGCAAUGACAUAUAAAAUGAUUGAAAAAAACGUUAUUUUAAUUGGUAUUAACACGGAAAACUUAAAACGAAUUUUAUUGCUGGUUUAAAUAAGACUAAAGAGGUAUGAAAAUAAGAAUGAAGUAUACUUGUUCGCUAAGGA